This 277-nucleotide ribosomal RNA is filed under the name uncultured prokaryote. RNAcentral's name for it is "partial 16S ribosomal RNA". It matches the Rfam family "Bacterial small subunit ribosomal RNA", at positions 524 to 801 of the family's 1533-position model. The record is from RNAcentral.
UACGUAGGGGCGAGCGUUGUCCGGAAUGACUGGGCGUAAAGGGCGCGUAGACGGCUUUUUAAGUCUGGAGUGAAAGUCCUGCUUUCAAGGUGGGAAGUGCUUUGGAGACUGGGGAGCUUGAGUGCGGAAGAGGUAAGUGGAAUUCCCAGUGUAGCGGUGAAAUGCGUAGAGAUUGGGAGGAACACCAGUGGCGAAGGCGACUUACUGGGCCGUAACUGACGUUGAUGCGCGAAAGCGUGGGGAGCGAACAGGAUUAGAUACCCUGGUAGUCCCUGAG